This is a long non-coding RNA of Strongylocentrotus purpuratus (purple sea urchin), 2412 nucleotides long. RefSeq lists it as uncharacterized. The transcript is spliced from 2 exons. Lineage: Eukaryota; Metazoa; Echinodermata; Echinoidea; Camarodonta; Strongylocentrotidae. The record is from RefSeq and is a predicted model, not a curated record.
AUUGAUGGAUUACCGCCAAACUUGGGUCAUGUAUGUCUCUUGCAAAGCCAAUAAACUGAUUAGAUUUUGGAGUCAGGUCACAGGGCUCAUUUUGUAUGCAAAAUUAGCUUGUGAUCAAAUGCAUUGUCAAUAGAACCGACAGAUGGAUUACUAUCAAACUCAGGACAUGUACGUAAUCUUGCAGAGCCAAUAAACUGAUUAGUUUUAGGGUCAUGAGGUCAAAGAUCAAAGGGUCAUACAUGUAUAUGAAAAAUAGCUUGUAAUCACGAUAUUAAUUAACGAUGUUAAUGGAUAUUAAUCAAACUUGAAUUUUCUAAAUUGCUUCUGUUUUGGUUUGUAAAAUCACUCUAUGAAGAUCCAUCUAGUUAUUGAUUCGUAUCGAUCUCAAGUCUCUGAAUCGGUCACAAACUUAACAAACUCUUUUUUUUUUUAAAUAGAUUUAUGAUUCUGUUCUGAAUAAAAGGGGUUCCAUGUGGCUGCACUAUAUUCAACACAUGUGUUUCUUCACAUACUUAUAUAAAGAGAUACUGCAAGUUUAAAUACAUUCUCAAUUACAGGGUAUAAACAUAGAGCUGCAUUUCUUAGACUACUCGACGCAUCGGCUUGAAAUAUGGCCUGCACGGACCAACGGAACUCAAGUCCGACUUGGGUUCCAUGCUUUAUGUUUUAUGUUAUUCUGUAUUAUCUUCUUGCCCCUUCUCCGAUGGCUCAUAAAAUGCAGGGUAAAGUUUGUGAUUUAUACCCCUACCCCAAAGAGCGAGAGAUAGUAAAGAGGAAGGGAAGAGUGGAGAGAAGUGGAUGAAAGAGGGUGGACAGAGCUGUUCACAAAUUAUUUUGUAGAUGAUUGGCAGUCCUAAGAACCAAGUCCAAGUCCAUCCUAGAUGGUUCCUACCCUUUAGACUGAAGGCUCCAUAAGCAACGUCCUGGUGAUGUAAAUGAAAAGGGUCUGACAGUGAUAGACACAACGCUCAUUCCUGUAUGCACUACAAUAUAAAGAUAAUUAAAACAUUUUGUUGCAUAAAAUGUGCAUUGUGAUAGUGCACUGUAUCAGUGUAAAAUUGUAUACUGCGAUGAAAUACAAAAUUAGAAAUGCCUCUGCAGUGCACCCAUGAGCAACGUCUGCAUUGUGUUGCAUUUGUACUCAAUUUGACUUGAGUCCAAGUCUAAAUACAUUGUGCUACAACACUGGUGAUUGGUACACUUUAUAAAGCUGCAAUCAAUUUUCAUAAAUUGCAACUCUUUAUAAGAUGGAGCCUAGGUUUAUGAGAGUUGGGUAUGAAUCAGUGUAACUGGAGGUACAAAAUGGGAGAAAAGAGAGAAAAGGAGAAAGAGGGGGAGAUAGUAAAGAGAAGGGGAAGAGAAGAGAGAAGUGGAGGAAAAAGGGUGGACAAGGAAUGCAGAAGGUUGAGUAUGCAGAUUAUAUGGAUAGGCAAUACAAAAAUCACAACACACCACCACCACCACAUAGACAGAAAAGUCUAGAAUUAAUUUCAAUGUACUAAUUAGUUCUCAGCAGAUGAACAGUCCAACUCCAUUCCAUACAAGAUACAACACUCAAAAAUGUAUCAACACUACAAUUAUAUUUACAAAUAAACCAAUUUAUUCAUACAUAUAUAUAUAUACACAGUGGAAUCAACAAGGCUCAAUGUAACAGAUAAAAGCAUUAAUUUUUGUACAUAUUUACAUCUAAUGAACAAUGCUACUGCUCUUGAUCAAAUCACAGUUAAACAAGGUGCAUAUCAGUAUCUAUGUUGGGUCAGAGUGGUAUAAAUUAUUUUUUUAGAGUCAUAUUUUUUUCUUCAUUUUCUGCUUGCAACCUCACUGACUAUGUUUUGAAGGAUUGUGAAAGAUUAGGGACAAAGGGUUGUCACUUUGAUAUCCAAUAAAAAAACAAAUAAAUAAUACAGAUGAAUGCGACUGCAUCUCCAAUAUGCACAAUCAAAUCAGUUUAUCCUUUACUGUAUAGCAAGGUACUAUUAUUAUUAUUAUCACAAUUGUUCAGUUUGUUGAUUGCUUAUGACAUAUCUUUUGCUAUAUGCACAACUCGCUGUAUAAAGCUAUCAUAAAAAAUCAGGUCUUGCCUCUUUGAAAAUUUCAAUUAUUCAAAUUUAGUGAGAUAUAUCUUCUAAGUAGGCCAUACAGAUUUAUCAGAACCAGAAACAGUUCACGAUGUGAGACCAAAAGAGGUUGGUAUACAAGGUGUUUCAUGAAUAAAUUAGAUAUUCUUUAGCAGCACUGAUUUAAUUUGCCGUUUGUUUUCCCUAAAGGUUCACACUUCCGAAGGUACAUUACUAGGAAGGUUUGUAACUCUGAAGGUUCACACUUCCGAAGGUACAUUACUAGGAAGGUUUGUAACUCUCAAGGUUCACACUUCCGAAGGUACAUUACUAGGAAGGUUUGUAACUCUCAAGG